AAUCAAAGCCAUGCCCUUCAGAUGUGGUUUCCCAAGCCUCCCUUGGUUUCAUGACUGCGAGGGACCUUCUGCAGCCACCUGGGCUGGUACGUGGAUGGGACCCUGUGACUGGAAGCCCCAACCCUGCAAAGGCAAGUCUAUAAAGAAAUAUGCACAAGCAGCAUCAUUCAGCAGGAUUUCAGACCAGAAAGAACCCUCCCGUCAGAGACUGGUGGCCAUACAAGGGUGCGCUGUGAAGCUUUCGAGACAGCAGACAGCCGGAGUCGUGAUCAGGGUGGCCAGGAAGGGAAACAACACGGUAGCAACCAGAGUGCCCUCCCAUGUGGAUUCCUUUGGUGACGAAUAAGCCAGUUGGUGUGCAGGGUGUUCACUGCAAGGCCCAGACAGGACUACAAGAGACCAGGACUGUCCUCAGUAUGUGAUCUCUCUCUCCUCUGGCGUCAGCUCUACCCAGGAACGGAUGUGAAGGCUGAAGCCCAGGCAAGGGCUCAUAGUGUGGGGACCGUGCAGCUGGAUUCAUGUCCAGUGGAAUUUGACACCAUGGCCGUCAUCAUCAUGUUUUGCCGUCAUCAGCACAGACCUCUGAGCAGAAAUGCCAGAACAAUGUGGGGCCACCCUGGAGAUUUAUUUUAUUUAUUUUUUAAAUUAAAUUAAAAUUGUUUUUAAGAGACGGGGUCUUGCUAUGUUGCACAGGUUGAUCUUGAACUUCUGGGCUCAAGCAAUCCUCCUGUCUUGGCCUCAGAGUGUUGGGAUUACAGACCUAAGCCACCGCGCCCGGCCUGGAGAUGUAUUUUAAACUGACAUCUUGGGAGAAAUAAAAGCCUUCCUUUUCCCUGUGUGUCGGUAGCGUAAGUAGUGAACUGGGAAGGAUUUCUCGGGGCCCCUGCCCUGAGCUCCUAGACCUUCUCUCCCACGCCAUGUUACACAACAAAAUCUGACUCUGAAAGAUCAAUUGGGUCCAGCUUGGGGUCUGAUGGGCAGACGGGCUUAAGCAAAGCCCCCACUUGACUUCAAGAGAGGAGCUUGGGGCCCACAUAGACAUCGAGGCCUGCACAACGUAGCUAAUUGGCCCUAACAUUUUUCUUUCUUGAAUUUUAAAUCCUUUUAGCAACAGAUUAUACAACAAAGGCUGAACUCAUUGGGGCCGUCAUUAGGCUGGCGGAAAACGCUGGCUUGGCUGUUCCUUGGCGAAUCUCCUUACCGGGUUAUUUAGAGGUGCCGUGUGUCUCUCUUGGGGACAUGCACACAAAUGUAAAGAAUGUCUCUGAGCCACAAUGACAUUUUCAUUAGCCGUGGCUCACAGAGGAGCCUUUCCUGGCAGUUCCAAUCCGGAAGGUUCUUAUCCUGCUCUCUGGCUUUCUUGCUCUGGGUGAAAGGCAGGCACCGUAAUCCAAGCCAAACACCCCGACCUUUGACCCCCACAUGGUGCUUGCUGUCAGGGUGGGGGUUCUUCUGGGGUGCAUGUCUGAGGCCUGACUGGGCUGCACACUGUCCCAGAGUGCCCUGCCUUUGGCCAGGACAAUUCACCUCAGCCCCUUUUGUCCCAACAGCUUUUGAUCUUGCCUGCCUGUCACCCAGGGAAAGAGCCUGCCUAGGCCCUGUCCCACACCUGCCUGCAAACUGACAGCCAUGGCUCCCCCAGCCCCACUGCAGCAGCCUUAACCCUUUCUCUGCCUGACCUGCAGGGCCUGCACCUACCUGUCUCCAGGGUGCUGGGGCCUCAGGCUUUGGCCAAACCAGAACAGGACUAGAAAAGAAUUCUUCUGAGGGUCCAAGGCCUCGUCCUACCGCCCCUACUGUGAGUGUGGGACUGACAAAGGAGUUUGGAGAGCAUGAGUCCCCUAGAAUGGAGCUCCCAGGAAAAGCCAAAGAGAAAGCCCCAGGCCACUGGGCCUGGACUUCGCCCCACGGCAAGGUCCCCGCCCACUGGCUAGGCAGGUGCUUUUGUGAAACUGACAUUUUCUCAGCUGCACCUCUACCGCUGCUGAUGAGCUUUUCAAUACACUCUUUCUUGUAUUGAGACAGAGCCAUGUUUUCAUAACUUGGCACUACAGCAAAGAAAGACAUGGGGUCCUUGCUGCUCAGUCCUGGUGCCCGGCCCAGUGUCUGGGGUGCCCACCUUGCCCAGCGUGUGCUGGGCAUGCAGGGGCACUUCCCUAGGGCCAAAACCUGGGAGCUUUCCUCCAGGCCAAGACGCAAGUCUCUUUGUUUUUACGGUAGCUUUGUUGAAAUGUAAUUUACAUACCAUGAAAUUCACCCGUUGAAGGCAUGCAAUUUAGAAGGUUUUAUUCAUAGAGUUGUAUGAAUUCUCUAUUUCCCAAGGCCAUUUUUUUAAAUAUAAG
This 2342-nucleotide long non-coding RNA is filed under the name Homo sapiens (human). RNAcentral describes it as "HSALNT0177671". The record is from RNAcentral. Lineage: Eukaryota; Metazoa; Chordata; Mammalia; Primates; Hominidae.